GAUGAACGCUAGCGGCAGGCCUAACACAUGCAAGUCGAGGGAUAAGCCUUCGGGCUAAGACCGUCGCACGGGUGCGUAACGCGUAUACAAUCUGCCUUUUAUCCGGGGGCUAGCCCGUGGGAAUUUGGAUUAAUACCCUAUGGUAUAUGAGCACGGCAUCGUGCACUUAUUAAAACUACGGCGGUAAAAGAUGAGUAUGCGUUCUAUUAGCUAGUGGGUGAGGUAACGGCUCCCCAAGGCGUCGAUAGAUAGGGGGUCUGAGAGGGAUGUCCCCCACACUGGUACUGAGAUACGGACCAGACUCCUACGGGAGGCAGCAGUGAGGAAGAUUGGACAGUGGAAGGAAGACUGAUCCAGCCAGGCCGCGUGCAGGAGGACGGCGUUAUGGGUAGUAAACUGCUUGUGUAAGGAAAGAAGAAGGAGUACGUGUACUUUUAUGACGGUACCUUACGAAUAAGCAACGGCUAACUCCGUG
Molecule: ribosomal RNA, 475 nt
Filed under: uncultured bacterium
Lineage: Bacteria
Description: partial 16S ribosomal RNA
Rfam family: Bacterial small subunit ribosomal RNA
Source: RNAcentral